This 557-nucleotide ribosomal RNA is filed under the name uncultured bacterium. RNAcentral describes it as "bacterial SSU rRNA". It matches the Rfam family "Bacterial small subunit ribosomal RNA", at positions 102 to 694 of the family's 1533-position model. The record is from RNAcentral.
ACGGGUGAGUAACGCGUGGGAAUCUACCGUACCCUACGGAAUAGCUCUGGGAAACUGGAAGUAAUACCGUAUACGCCCUUCGGGGGAAAGAUUUAUCGGGGUAUGAUGAGCCCGCGUUGGAUUAGCUAGUUGGUGGGGUAAAGGCCUACCAAGGCGACGAUCCAUAGCUGGUCUGAGAGGAUGAUCAGCCACAUUGGGACUGAGACACGGCCCAAACUCCUACGGGAGGCAGCAGUGGGGAAUAUUGGACAAUGGGCGCAAGCCUGAUCCAGCCAUGCCGCGUGAGUGAUGAAGGUCUUAGGAUUGUAAGGCUCUUUCACCGGAGAAGAUAAUGACGGUAUCCGGAGAAGAAGCCCCGGCUAACUUCGUGCCAGCAGCCGCGGUAAUACGAAGGGGGCUAGCGUUGUUCGGAAUUACUGGGCGUAAAGCGCACGUAGGCGGGUAUUUAAGUCAGGGGUGAAAUCCCAGAGCUCAACUCUGGAACUGCCUUUGAUACUGGGUAUCUUGAGUAUGGAAGAGGUAAGUGGAAUUGCGAGUGUAGAGGUGAAAUUCGUAGA